GACGAACGCUGGCGGCGUGCUUAACACAUGCAAGUCGAACGGUAAGGCCCUUCGGGGUACACGAGUGGCGAACGGGUGAGUAACACGUGGGUGAUCUGCCCUGCACUUCGGGAUAAGCCUGGAAACUGGGUCUAAUACCGGAUAGGACCACUGCCUGCAUGGGUGGUGGUGGAAAGCUUUUGCGGUGUGGGAUGGGCCCGCGGCCUAUCUGCUCGUUGGUGGGGUGAUGGCCUACCAAGGCGACGACGGGUAGCCGGCCUGAGAGGGUGACCGGCCAGACUGGGACUGAGAUACGGCCCAGACUCCUACGGGAGGCAGCAGUGGGGAAUAUUGCACAAUGGGCGCAAGCCUGAUGCAGCGACGCCGCGUGAGGGAUGACGGCCUUCGGGUUGUAAACCUCUUUCAGCACCGACGAAGCGCAAGUGACGGUAGGUGCAGAAGAAGGACCGGCCAACUACGUGCCAGCCGCCGCCGUAA
This 477-nucleotide ribosomal RNA is filed under the name uncultured bacterium. RNAcentral's name for it is "partial 16S ribosomal RNA". It matches the Rfam family "Bacterial small subunit ribosomal RNA", at positions 28 to 523 of the family's 1533-position model. The record is from RNAcentral.